RNAcentral lists this ribosomal RNA (373 nucleotides) under uncultured organism. Its description in RNAcentral is "partial 16S ribosomal RNA". It matches the Rfam family "Bacterial small subunit ribosomal RNA", at positions 526 to 896 of the family's 1533-position model. The record is from RNAcentral.
GGGGGGGGGCAAGCGUUGUUCGGAAUUACUGGGCGUAAAGGGCGCGCAGGCGGCCCGGCAAGUCCUACGUGAAAUCCCACAGCUCAACUGUGGAAUUGCGUGGGAUACUGCCAGGCUUGAGUCCGGGAGAGGAGAGUGGAAUUCCCAGUGUAGCGGUGAAAUGCGUAGAUAUUGGGAGGAACACCGGUGGCGAAGGCGGCUCUCUGGACCGGUACUGACGCUGAGGCGCGAAAGCUAGGGGAGCAAACGGGAUUAGAUACCCCGAUAGUCCUAGCCCUAAACGUUGAGCACUUGGUGUGGCGGGUAUCGACCCCUGCCGUGCCGAAGCUAACGCAUUAAGUGCUCCGCCUGGGGAGUACGGUCGCAAAGGCUG